This is an unclassified non-coding RNA of Pongo abelii (Sumatran orangutan), 148 nucleotides long. It matches the Rfam family "Metazoan signal recognition particle RNA". From Rfam's summary of the family: The signal recognition particle (SRP) is a universally conserved ribonucleoprotein. It is involved in the co-translational targeting of proteins to membranes. The record is from Ensembl. NCBI's taxonomy places the organism in Eukaryota, Metazoa, Chordata, Mammalia, Primates, Hominidae.
GCCAGGCAUGGUGGCGCGUGCCUGUAAUCCCAGCUACUUGGGAGGCUGAGGCAGGAGAAUCAUUUGAACCCAGGAAGCGGACGUUGCAGUGGGCCGAGAUCACACCAUUGCACUCCCGCCUGGGUGACACAGCGAGACUCUGUCUCAA